UUGAACGCUGGCGGCAGGCCUAACACAUGCAAGUCGAGCGGAUGAAGGGAGCUUGCUCCUGGAUUCAGCGGCGGACGGGUGAGCAAUGCCUAGGAAUCUGCCUGGUAGUGGGGGAUAACGUCCGGAAACGGGCGCUAAUACCGCAUACGUCCUGAGGGAGAAAGUGGGGGAUCUUCGGACCUCACGCUAUCAGAUGAGCCUAGGUCGGAUUAGCUAGUUGGUGGGGUAAAGGCCUACCAAGGCGACGAUCCGUAACUGGUCUGAGAGGAUGAUCAGUCACACUGGAACUGAGACACGGUCCAGACUCCUACGGGAGGCAGCAGUGGGGAAUAUUGGACAAUGGGCGAAAGCCUGAUCCAGCCAUGCCGCGUGUGUGAAGAAGGUCUUCGGAUUGUAAAGCACUUUAAGUUGGGAGGAAGGGCAGUAAGUUAAUACCUUGCUGUUUUGACGUUACCAACAGAAUAAGCACCGGCUAACUUCGUG
This 483-nucleotide ribosomal RNA is filed under the name uncultured bacterium. Its description in RNAcentral is "partial 16S ribosomal RNA". It matches the Rfam family "Bacterial small subunit ribosomal RNA", at positions 30 to 507 of the family's 1533-position model. The record is from RNAcentral.